AACUGGGUUGGAUUGUGAGCCCGUGAAAACAAUCGGUUGGUUCUAGUUGGUGAGCCUGUGAAAACCGACCGAGUUCGUUGUGAUCUCGCAAAACAACAAGUUGGGUUGUGAGCUUGUAAAACAACCAACUGUAAUCUGAGGGAUUAUAGUGAAAUUUCCAAGAGGUCUUGGGGGGUGGAUGUAGGUGCUGGGGUGCACCGAACCACUAUACAUCUUUGUGUUUGUGAUGCCUUAUCUCUUGUAUUUCAUGCCUUACAUUCAUGCUUGAUUGUGUAAUAUCUCUAGCUUUGUUUUCUAUAGAGUUACAAGUGAUUGUUUAGAAUUUGCUUAGCUUCCACUCCACUCUUACCAUACACAUAGAUUAAAAUUGAUCAUACAACUAUAAGUUAAUUUUAGAUCAAUUGCACCCUAAAGCCAUAGUAUAAUUGCUCUAGCUUAAUUUUUCACUGCUUUACUUGUAAUUGCCUAGAGCUUAAGUAAAUAACAUCUUAUCAUUCCGCUGCAUUCUAUUCAAAGUAAAAAUUAGGGAACAUAAUUUUUAGAAAACCCAAUUUACCCCCCCUCUUGGGUUGUCACCUUGGGCAACAA
RNAcentral lists this long non-coding RNA (588 nucleotides) under Phoenix dactylifera (date palm). RNAcentral describes it as "long non-coding RNA (PDAC_LNC007177)". The record is from RNAcentral. Lineage: Eukaryota; Viridiplantae; Streptophyta; Magnoliopsida; Arecales; Arecaceae.